This 693-nucleotide long non-coding RNA is filed under the name Homo sapiens (human). RNAcentral's name for it is "non-protein coding lnc-CCDC179-4:1". The record is from RNAcentral. Lineage: Eukaryota; Metazoa; Chordata; Mammalia; Primates; Hominidae.
GAGGACUGGCGCGAAGGUGCAGAUAGGAAAAGUGACUGUGAGGAGGCACCUUCACCACAGCUUACUGUGGAUUUUGCAAAUAAUUCCAACAGUGCCAAAGACAUAGACAGGACCACCCAGCUCCAAGACCUCAGCCUGCAGGACACUGCCCUGGGUGCUGCUCAUCCUACACCUCCAGGGCACAGUCCACUGUGGUGUUGCAGCUCCCACCCUGCUGCAUCUGUGUUAUAGAUAAGGAUGACUGCAGUAAAUUUGUAAGUCUACAUCAUGCCCACAGCCUUAAGAGGAAGUGUCAACAGGAACAAGAGAUUGGUUUGAAGCAGUUACUUUUUCGAAGUUUGUCUAGUGAAGGUGAUACAAAAUAUGAGACCAUAAUUAAAAGUGAAGAUAAGAUGUUUUAAAAAUUCACAAGAGAACUGCUGCUUUUCAUGAGUAGAUUUUGAGGUAUUUCUGGAGUGUAGAGACACUCUGCCCCUAAUCAGAAGUCACUGAGCUUUCAACCUGCAUCAGCUGCAGAGGCUGAAGAACAUUUGUGUUUCAGUUUAUGACAGCUCUGGUCAGCAUGCUCACAAGUGCUGAUUUAGAUCUUUUUAAGGAAUUUAAAAAAUUCUGGUUCACACAUGUGAGAAGAGAUGCUGGCCUCAAAAUCAUCAUUUAGUUACACAAUAAGAUCCAGAUGAAUUAUUAUUUAAG